Equus caballus (horse) is the source of this 455-nucleotide long non-coding RNA. RefSeq lists it as uncharacterized. NCBI's taxonomy places the organism in Eukaryota, Metazoa, Chordata, Mammalia, Perissodactyla, Equidae. The record is from RefSeq and is a predicted model, not a curated record.
AGGUUCCAGAAUCAAAUGUUGUGCAAGCACCUAGGAGCCUUGUAAAUAGAGGCUCCUUCCGCCUGCAGCAGCCUCGCUGGGUCCCAGUCUCAGAGCAGCUCCUCAUCUUCUCCUGCUGCUCAGGGUCCAGCCGGCGUUCACCAUGCGGUGUCUCUACUUCGUGCUCCUGACCUGCUUCAUCCUCUUUCCUCACUUUGCCACAGCCUCCACCCAGCGCAUAGACUCAGAAGAGGAGUGCAUUCAGGCUGGUGCCCAGUGUAAAUGGUUUUCUUGCCCAGAAGAUCAUGAACGUCUUGGUUCCUGUUGGUUUGGGAUAAAGAAAUGCUGUCUGCGUGGAUGGUCGGCUGAAGGACAUGGGUGGACAAGGAGCCCAGAGAUCUAAAUAAAGGGCUGACUAUAACUCUGAAAGUGCUGUGAUAUUAUUUCCUGAAAAUAAAGAAACAACCCAUGCUGCA